GACAUGCGUAGCAAGUACCCUUAUCUGUUCAAUGUGUAAUAAUGUACUUUAUUCUGCCUUGUGUAAAAUUCGAGGACGAAUUUUCUGUAAGGGGGGAAGAAUGUAACACCCCUGAUUUUUAUAUAUUAUUAUUGGGCUUCGUGUAGGUAUCCUCAAUUCGCGGAAAUUCGACAGUUAUCCGGAUCUGUGAAUUUCCGGCCAGACAGACCAGCUACCGGAAAAGUCUCCGAAUUGGAUCGAGAUUUUGGCUACCCCACCAUUUUUAGGCAUCCCGAGCACGUUCCCGAAGUCGGAAUCGGCAAAGGUGAGCCGGGACAGCCUUCUUCCUCCGCCCAGCCGCCACAGUAAUUUGUCGUCAAGUCUGCCACAGGAGGAUAUUUUAUUCUGGGUUAACCUGCUUUUAUCCUUCGCAGGUUGUUUAUCCAUGUUUGUGUAAUUUUAAUUACUCCUAGAAUUUCCGCAUGUGUUAGCAGUAUUUAUUUGAAUUUGGUAUGUAAUAUUUUUAUCAUGUUGGACCUGUAAACUUAAAUAUGUUAUGCAUGUUGAUGGAUUGGAUGAGGGAGCUGAGCUCCCAUUUAUUUUAUGUUGAUGAGUAUGUGGAGGGUGAGCUGAGCUCCCCAAUUGAGUA
Hevea brasiliensis (rubber tree) is the source of this 628-nucleotide long non-coding RNA. RefSeq lists it as uncharacterized. Lineage: Eukaryota; Viridiplantae; Streptophyta; Magnoliopsida; Malpighiales; Euphorbiaceae. The transcript has 3 exons. The record is from RefSeq and is a predicted model, not a curated record.